Molecule: long non-coding RNA, 728 nt
Organism: Raphanus sativus (radish)
Lineage: Eukaryota; Viridiplantae; Streptophyta; Magnoliopsida; Brassicales; Brassicaceae
Exons: 3
Source: RefSeq, a predicted model, not a curated record
UAUUUGCAGAGAGGAUGGUUUUUUCUGUUUGCUCUCACAGAGGCUUCAGGUCACUUUCGCUCCUGUGUCUUUUCUUUCUUUCUUGUAUACUACUACUUGAUUGCUGCCUCUUAGUUUUGGUCGUCAUUUUUGUUUGAACCAAUAGUUUUAAUCCGAUUGGCUCAUCAUCAUCCGUCACACCGGAGGAUUCAGAGGUUCGGAUCCAAGUUUCCUCGGGAUUCGAGUCUGAAUGGGAGAGUUAGCUAUAAUAAGCCUACUGUGGGUGGUGGGUAUCCCACGAUGUCGUCCGUAGGUUUCGCACGCCAAAGUCCUCCGAGCUUCCAUGAUGAGCUAGAAGAGCCCCCACUAUGGUUGAGCCUUGUUAGGGACAUUGUCGGGAGCACGAGAUCUGUCUUUCUCCUUUAUGGCUGAGCAGCCGAGCCAGCUUAAUUCAUAGAGUGGCCCUAGUUUUACAACCACGCUCAAGACUGCCACACUUAGUCUCUUUCUUGUAGCUGUCUUCAUUGUUGCUCUAUCCUCGUGGACUCUGCUCUUUGUUACGUUUUGGCUCUCAUCUUGAGAAAUCCCUAUGAAUGCACUAUGUGUGAGAGAGAGAGAGAGAGUGUCAGGAAGGCAAAUUCCAUUUUCAUGUUGUAACCUGCAACAAAAGGUUAAUGCUGUCUGUCAUUGUUUAGAACGAAGUAUUAACUCCUCCUCUCUUAAUCAAAAUUCUGCAUCUCAAUUUCAUU